UACGGAGGGGGCUAGCGUUGUUCGGAAUUACUGGGCGUAAAGCGCACGUAGGCGGCUUUGUAAGUUAGAGGUGAAAGCCCAGGGCUUAACCCUGGAAUUGCCUUUAAGACUGCAUCGCUAGAAUUGUGGAGAGGUGAGUGGAAUUCCGAGUGUAGAGGUGAAAUUCGCAGAUAUCGGGAAGAACACCAGUGGCGAAAGCGGCUCUCUGGGGACCACCUGACGCUGAGGCGCGAAAGCGUGGGGAGCGAACCGG
This 253-nucleotide ribosomal RNA is filed under the name uncultured bacterium. Its description in RNAcentral is "partial 16S ribosomal RNA". It matches the Rfam family "Bacterial small subunit ribosomal RNA", at positions 524 to 776 of the family's 1533-position model. The record is from RNAcentral.